AUUGAACGCUUGCUGCAGGCCUAACACAUGCAAGUCGAACGAGUGGCGGACGGGUGAGUAAUGUCUGGGAAACUGCCUGAUAGAGGGGGAUAACUACUGGAACCGGUAGCUAAUACCGCAUACCAUCGGAUGUGCCCAGAUGGGAUUAGCUAGUAGGUGGGGUAAAGGCUCACCUAGGCGACGAUCCCUAGCUGGUCUGAGCGGAUGACAAGCUACACUGGAACUGAGACACGGUCCAGACUCCUACGGGAGGCAGCAGUGGGUAAUAUUGCACAAUGGGCGAAAGCCAUAUGCAGCCAUGCCGCGUGUAGGAAGAAGGCCUGCGUGUUGGAAAGUACGUUCAGCGGGGAGGCGUUACCCGGAGAAGAAGCACAGUCUAACUCUGUGCCAGCAGCCGCGGUAAUUC
RNAcentral lists this ribosomal RNA (406 nucleotides) under uncultured bacterium. Its description in RNAcentral is "partial 16S ribosomal RNA". It matches the Rfam family "Bacterial small subunit ribosomal RNA", at positions 30 to 526 of the family's 1533-position model. The record is from RNAcentral.